This 26-nucleotide ribosomal RNA is filed under the name Coprosma cuneata. Its description in RNAcentral is "partial 18S ribosomal RNA". The record is from RNAcentral. Lineage: Eukaryota; Viridiplantae; Streptophyta; Magnoliopsida; Gentianales; Rubiaceae.
UAGGUGAACCUGCGGAAGGNUCAUUG